Lathyrus oleraceus (garden pea) is the source of this 959-nucleotide long non-coding RNA. RefSeq lists it as uncharacterized. The record is from RefSeq and is a predicted model, not a curated record. Lineage: Eukaryota; Viridiplantae; Streptophyta; Magnoliopsida; Fabales; Fabaceae. The transcript is spliced from 3 exons.
ACCUUUCUUUCUUAAUUCACUCAUUAAAUAAUUUUGUUGUGAUUUGCAAGGUAGUUUCAAAAUAUAUAUACACAAAUCAACACUUGAAUAGUCAUUUUUAAAAGUAUUUUUUGAAAUUAGGAGAGAAUAAUUAAUUAACUAUUUAAUAGUUGCAUAUUCGUGGGAAUAUGGUCAUUGGUCAAACAUACACACAGUGAUACUACACUAGCCAGUUUAUUAUUUCUCUAUGCUUCUUCAUAAGCUGCAAAGUUUUCAAAAUAGCAAGAAACAUCGUAUAAAUAUAUCUUACCAAGGAAAAACUAUAAGGAUUAAAGAUGAGGCUGAGUUAAUGAAAUGGAUGAUGUAGAAAGCAAAUCAAGAUAUUGACGCGCCUCAAUUUGACGACAUGGCUAUAAAAAAUCAUCAUAUCAUAUCAGCCAUGUAGUUUGAUUGAGCCGCGUCAAUAUCUUGUUUCCAUCUCCAAAUUUUCCAAUCUCAUCAAGCCUCAUAAACAAGGGAUAUAGAAAAUUGGGGAUGGAUUUUAGCAUUGUAGAAAAAUGAUAUAUACUUCAUGCAUGAUGUCAAAAUGAAAAAGAGUGACAGAGACUGGUUGUAGAGAGGGGACAAGCAGAAUUAAUGAAGGGAAUCCUUCGUUUUCAAGAACUGCUGUAGCUAAAAUCUUGAUGCAAACUGGAAUGGGACCUAUUAAUUACUCUUUAAUUUUCUGGGUUUGCAUUAAUUUCUAUGCCAUAAUAGGUUGUGUCCUCAUGCAUGUUGCUAGACAGUAGCUAGGCCAGGUCUUGUAAUAUGUUUUUUUUUUCUUUCAUUCAAAUUGUUUUUAAAGGGAUGGACACUCUACAAGUCUAUUUCGUACUAGCUUAUAGUACAAUAUCUAUUAAACCUGCUAUGGUUAAAUUCAAUCUAUUAAACCUGCUAUGGUUAAAUUCGAAGAGCUUUCCUAAUUUGACACCAUUUUUCAA